CAAAAUGUAGUGUAUAUGAAUUUGUAACGACCCCAUAUACAGCCCCCGCCCUAAGCCAGGGCAAUCAGUGCAACUGCUCUGGCCCUGACUUAAGGAAGGUCCCCAAAUUUUUUUAUUUUUUUUAUGUGGUCAUAUUUUGGUAACUAGUUAUAUAAAUAAACACAUCAAUAUUAUCUUAAGUUGACUCUAGCGGUGGUAAGGUCUCUAGUUUUUAAUGCACACCCAACUUAGGUUCGAUCCCAACAUUGUGUAUGUUUUUUAAUUUCUUUUCUAGGCGAGUGCAUGGUUCUUUUUAGUAAUUUUUUUUGUCUUCAAUCAUUUCUUAUAUACAAUAAAUAAAAUUUUGUCCAAGGCCUAAACUUUUUUCUAUGGUUAUAAAAGUUUUAUUUUUUUAAUAUUCUACACACAAGCACAAAUAAAAUCAAAUGAUUUUUCUUGUGUGUGGAGCUAUAGAUACACAGGAUGUUCAAUCAUUUCUUAUAUACAAAAAUUAAAUGACACUUUGUCAAAGCCUUAAAUUUUU
This 523-nucleotide long non-coding RNA is filed under the name Prunus persica (peach). Its description in RNAcentral is "long non-coding RNA (PPER_LNC001506)". The record is from RNAcentral. Lineage: Eukaryota; Viridiplantae; Streptophyta; Magnoliopsida; Rosales; Rosaceae.